CAGUAGCUGGUUAAGCCGACUGUGCUCUUUCCCCACGGGGGCCCAGUGUGCCAAGGCUGCACCUCCUUAGUAGUGUAUGUAGCCUGCUGAUUGUACAGCUUGCCCGAAGUGACCUUGGAGACAGCA
This 126-nucleotide small nucleolar RNA is filed under the name Suricata suricatta (meerkat). RNAcentral describes it as "Small nucleolar RNA SNORA70 (ENSSSUG00005021288.1)". It matches the Rfam family "Small nucleolar RNA SNORA70". Rfam says of the family: snoRNA U70 seems to be exclusive to mammals and is a member of the H/ACA class of snoRNA which contain H (ANANNA) and ACA box motifs. H/ACA box snoRNAs are involved in the conversion of uridines to pseudouridines (5-ribosyluracil) a constituent of structural RNAs (transfer, ribosomal, small nuclear, and small nucleolar). The record is from Rfam by way of RNAcentral. Lineage: Eukaryota; Metazoa; Chordata; Mammalia; Carnivora; Herpestidae.